This 468-nucleotide ribosomal RNA is filed under the name uncultured bacterium. Its description in RNAcentral is "partial 16S ribosomal RNA". It matches the Rfam family "Bacterial small subunit ribosomal RNA", at positions 28 to 507 of the family's 1533-position model. The record is from RNAcentral.
GACGAACGCUGGCGGCGUGCUUAACACAUGCAAGUCGAACGGCAACGCCCUGCUUGUGUGGGCUGCUCGAGUGGCGAACGGGUGUGUAACACGUGAGUAACCUGCCCUGGACUUUGGGAUAACUUCAGGAAACUGGGGCUAAUACCGGAUAGGAGCUCCUGCUGCAUGGGGGGGGUUGGAAAGUUUCGGCGGUUGGGGAUGGACUCGCGGGUUAUCAGCUUGUUGGUGGGGUAGUGGCUUACCAAGGCUUUGACGGGUAGCCGGCCUGAGAGGGUGACCGGCCACAUUGGGACUGAGAUACGGCGCAGACUCCUACGGGAGGCAGCAGUGGGGAAUAUUGCACAAUGGGCGGAAGCCUGAUGCAGCAACGCCGCGUGCGGGAUGACGGCCUUCGGGUUGUAAACCGCUUUCGCCUGUGACGAAGCGUGAGUGACGGUAAUGGGUAAAGAAGCACCGGCUAACUACGUG